UAUUAUUCAGAUUGAUGUUAACAAAUUCAUGAAAACGUUUAUAAAAUGCAGUUAUUUUCUGUACAGCCAGCACUUCUACAAUUUUUCUUGUAACAAUUACGAUUUCUUCGCUUAAUAAAACAUGUACGGAAAACUUCUUGUUGUGGUGUAUUUAAUUUCAGCAGUUUCAUCAACUGACUAUCCAGCAUGCUUACAAAAGCUGGCUGAAAAAGUGGCCGGUCACAAAGAACAAGGUCUUGUCCCCUUUGGAAACUCCAACACCUAUCAGGUGUCUGGGAAUGAUAAGCGAAGUUUUCAAACUAUCAAGUUCGCCAAGCCUUACGGGACGCCACCGACUGUAGUGUUAUCAUUGGAAACUAUGGAUGCAAGUAAAGCACAAACUUGAGGUAUUCGGUUGCUGUGGGACAGAUCACAACAACCGGUGCUCAAAUCACUUUGGCUACAUGGGCAGACACACAGAUCUUCGGUGCCUAUGUGCGCUGGUAUGCAUUCGAAUAGAAAUCUUAAACAAAAUUUAAAGACGGCUCUUUAUUUUUACAUAACUGUUCUGAAACUAACGUCUUUAAAAAUUAUGUUUUAAAUUCUGCUCAAUACAAAGCAAAAGU
Molecule: long non-coding RNA, 605 nt
Organism: Physella acuta
Lineage: Eukaryota; Metazoa; Mollusca; Gastropoda; Physidae
Source: RefSeq, a predicted model, not a curated record